This 1107-nucleotide ribosomal RNA is filed under the name Staphylococcus aureus. RNAcentral describes it as "partial 23S ribosomal RNA". It matches the Rfam family "Bacterial large subunit ribosomal RNA", at positions 450 to 1561 of the family's 2925-position model. Lineage: Bacteria; Bacillati; Bacillota; Bacilli; Caryophanales; Staphylococcaceae. The record is from RNAcentral.
GGACCAUCUCCUAAGGCUAAAUACUCUCUAGUGACCGAUAGUGAACCAGUACCGUGAGGGAAAGGUGAAAAGCACCCCGGAAGGGGAGUGAAAUAGAACCUGAAACCGUGUGCUUACAAGUAGUCAGAGCCCGUUAAUGGGUGAUGGCGUGCCUUUUGUAGAAUGAACCGGCGAGUUACGAUUUGAUGCAAGGUUAAGCAGUAAAUGUGGAGCCGUAGCGAAAGCGAGUCUGAAUAGGGCGUUUAGUAUUUGGUCGUAGACCCGAAACCAGGUGAUCUACCCUUGGUCAGGUUGAAGUUCAGGUAACACUGAAUGGAGGACCGAACCGACUUACGUUGAAAAGUGAGCGGAUGAACUGAGGGUAGCGGAGAAAUUCCAAUCGAACCUGGAGAUAGCUGGUUCUCUCCGAAAUAGCUUUAGGGCUAGCCUCAAGUGAUGAUUAUUGGAGGUAGAGCACUGUUUGGACGAGGGGCCCCUCUCGGGUUACCGAAUUCAGACAAACUCCGAAUGCCAAUUAAUUUAACUUGGGAGUCAGAACAUGGGUGAUAAGGUCCGUGUUCGAAAGGGAAACAGCCCAGACCACCAGCUAAGGUCCCAAAAUAUAUGUUAAGUGGAAAAGGAUGUGGCGUUGCCCAGACAACUAGGAUGUUGGCUUAGAAGCAGCCAUCAUUUAAAGAGUGCGUAAUAGCUCACUAGUCGAGUGACACUGCGCCGAAAAUGUACCGGGGCUAAACAUAUUACCGAAGCUGUGGAUUGUCCUUUGGACAAUGGUAGGAGAGCGUUCUAAGGGCGUUGAAGCAUGAUCGUAAGGACAUGUGGAGCGCUUAGAAGUGAGAAUGCCGGUGUGAGUAGCGAAAGACGGGUGAGAAUCCCGUCCACCGAUUGACUAAGGUUUCCAGAGGAAGGCUCGUCCGCUCUGGGUUAGUCGGGUCCUAAGCUGAGGCCGACAGGCGUAGGCGAUGGAUAACAGGUUGAUAUUCCUGUACCACCUAUAAUCGUUUUAAUCGAUGGGGGGACGCAGUAGGAUAGGCGAAGCGUGCGAUUGGAUUGCACGUCUAAGCAGUAAGGCUGAGUAUUAGGCAAAUCCGGUACUCGUUAAGGCUGAGC